This 253-nucleotide ribosomal RNA is filed under the name uncultured bacterium. RNAcentral's name for it is "partial 16S ribosomal RNA". It matches the Rfam family "Bacterial small subunit ribosomal RNA", at positions 524 to 776 of the family's 1533-position model. The record is from RNAcentral.
UACGAAGGGGGCUAGCGUUGUUCGGAUUUACUGGGCGUAAAGCGCACGUAGGCGGAUUGUUAAGUCGGGGGUGAAAUCCUGGAGCUCAACUCCAGAACUGCCUUUGAUACUGGGGAUCUCGAGUCCGGGAGAGGUGAGUGGAACUGCGAGUGUAGAGGUGAAAUUCGUAGAUAUUCGCAAGAACACCAGUGGCGAAGGCGGCUCACUGGCCCGGUACUGACGCUGAGGUGCGAAAGCGUGGGGAGCAAACAGG